Long non-coding RNA from Trifolium pratense (red clover), 2804 nucleotides. RefSeq lists it as uncharacterized. The transcript has 6 exons. Lineage: Eukaryota; Viridiplantae; Streptophyta; Magnoliopsida; Fabales; Fabaceae. The record is from RefSeq and is a predicted model, not a curated record.
UGUUGGAAAUGGGUAUUAUGUAUGCAUUGAUCAUGUAAUUAGAGACUAGAGUUAUAGUUGAGGAAGGUUAGAGAACACAAACAAUCUUCAAUAAAGAGGCAUCUAAUCAUAGAGUGGUCACCUGUGGAGCCCAAAGCCUAAGCAUCUCGGAUCAAAAUUGUUGUUCAUCAUAGCAGAAUGGACACAAAUCAAGCCCGAUAUCUUAUCUUGUGAGAGGAGAGGAGCAUCUCAUGUAUGAUCUCCCUUUUCUCAGCCAGAGAGACCACUUGUGUUUUGCAUAUCAUUGCCUUCACAGUAGGCCAAAAGCGAUCAAUCAUGAAAUUACCAGCUUGUUUGUUGAUUGCCUGAGAAACUUCCAGAUGGUUAGAGUUGUACCUGUUGAUCAUCCCAUCCACUCAUACAGUUCAUGAAGAAUGAUUCAGUCUUAUAAAAUGUGUCAAGAGCAUCUUGAUAAAUGAUAAUUCUUCUUUCCAUCAUCUGAAUAACAAGUCACAACUUCUCUUCACCUCAGUUUCCUAUCAGGUCACAACAAAUGUCACUCCCUCUUUUUCCUCUGCACCUUCUUCCUCAAUGUCAACAUCACUGUGUUCAUGUCAAGAAGGCGAUUCUCACAACCACUUGUUGCUGAUGUUAAUGUGUUGGGGCUGCCUGCAUGCUUCCAAUGUAACAGUGUGUGCGUGUGUGGAAGAUAAAUGAAAGGGAAUUGGAAAAAAGAACUCAGUUAAGAUAUCCUAUAAUUAAUAAGGAACCAUGAAAGGGGAGACAUAGUUGAGCAUGGGCUUUGGUUGGCUAGAUGGUGCUUAGUUGUAAAAACUGGCGACUUCUUCCAGGCCGUCCAGCAAACAAGAAACAAAAGCAGUAACAUGUUUUCUUGUAAUAGGCUCAUAAGUUAGGAGGAAUACUUAGAAAUAUUAAGAUACUUAGAAAUAUUAAGAUAGUAGUUAAUACUUUUAGACAGCAAAACUGACAAAUAGAGCUAGUAAAAGAGAACAUGGCUCCGAUAUAACGGAAGCCAUUUUAGAGUAUCAGUGCUUCCUACAAUCUUCAAAGGAGGCAUUUUUUUAUAGAUAAAUAAAUGCAUGUGAUCACCUAGUCUUCUCCUUUGGAGCCCAAAGCCUAAGCAUCUCGGAUCAAAAUUGUUGUUGUUGAACAUAGCAGGUCGACAAGGUAAUGUACUAACACAUCUUACUCCCAACUUCAAAAUUUUACUACACUUUGCUUUUAUUUUAGUUACUUGAAAAAGAAAAAAAAAAUCUUCAAAAUUUUAAGUUGUUGUAUGUAAGAGAACAAAAAAGAGGGGUUUGAAUCUGUAAGAACACCGUGAGACCAUCCAGGUCAGAUAUAACUGACCCGGAACAAUCCUCUACAGCACAGAGAUGAUGUCUCAACUAGAGAACCAUCCUAGCCGUUAAUCACGCUCUGAUCACACGGUCAUAGUUCAUCAUCCAGAUUUUUGUUCCUGUCUCCUUAGAAAUCAAGGACACAGUAAUACGAUCCUAUAGAACAGAUCCUGUUCAAGUAAGGUCGUGUCUAUUGCUCUUCGUGCUAGUUAUAUAAACACUUGAUUUUGGUCGAGUCUUAGCAAUGUGGGACUAAAACUUUGUUCAAGUAAGUUAGAACUAUGCUUCUGUUCAAGUAAGUUAGAACCAUGUUUAAAUUGUUUUAGUAUUGAAUAGUAAUAACUGAGGGGCAAGGCAAGGCACCUUAUCUAGAAUUCAGGACUUGUGGCAGUCGAAAAUCAUUUUAGAGAUGCGCUUCUAUAUGCAGUGUAGAUCAAGAUUCAGUCAUUCCAUUGAUAGGGUCACAGUCUUUAGUAAACAAAUUAGCCAAGGAACUUAUAAAAUGUUUCAAUGAUAAGUCUUGUUUCUAUCAUCUGAAUCACAACUUCCCUUCUCCUCAGUUCCCUCAUUUGAGUACUCAUAUUUUGUUAACUUUUUUGUCCUAAGAUGCAACAUUUUUUGUGUUGGAAAGAGUCCUUUCUAAGGUACAAUUUCUUAUCUGUGCUUUGUUUCAAUGAUGUUGUGGACGUUUUAAUCAAGUUGGUUUUCUUUCCGACACUUUCAGCUUGAGAACAUCGCUCUUUACCUGAUAGCAGGUAAGUAUUUGCUCGCUAGCUUUUAUGUACAAUGCCAGUGUGGAUAGGUCUGCAUUUGAUGUCAAAAUAUGGAACCUCUUGUAAGGACUAUAAGAUGAGACGACACAGAAGAGGAAAAUCAGAAACUUUGUGUGCUCAAUACAUAAAUACGGAGGAACUGAGGGUAACAAUUGGCACUUGGAAUGUUGCUGGAAUAGUUCCAUGUAAUGAUCUUGAAAUUGAGGGUUGGCUUUGUAUCCAAGAACCAUCAGAUCAUUAUUGGGACAAGUGUUUCCUAUCAGGUCACAACAAAUGCCCCUCCAUCUUUUUCCUCCGCACCUUCUUCCUCAAUGUCAAAUAGCAUGUGUGUUCGGCAUAUCUCAGAAAACCUUGCUUACCUCAAAUCAAUGACUUGGAGUCUUAGCGAAUCGUGGCUCAUCCCUUGGAGAGAGUGCCUAUAAUAAGCGUUAAGUUGCACGAUUAGAGCAAGUCUCCAUUAGGCGAAACAGAGGUUAAGUUUCAGCUUACAAGGGAUACAUACACUUGAGAGGCUAUACUGAGAUCCAUGACAUACAUACGUCAGUGAACAACUAAAUGCUGAGAAUAUAAGAAAGGCUUUGGAGGACAUGAUAUUGACUGAAGUGGUCCUUGCAACAUUUCUAUUACUCUACUCAUUGAUGGCCUAUCUGAUGGAUUUGUUUGAAUGCACCAUAGACUUACCAUGGUAAUC